This 433-nucleotide ribosomal RNA is filed under the name uncultured bacterium. Its description in RNAcentral is "partial 16S ribosomal RNA". It matches the Rfam family "Bacterial small subunit ribosomal RNA", at positions 29 to 507 of the family's 1533-position model. The record is from RNAcentral.
AACGAACGCUGGCGGCAUGCCUAACACAUGCAAGUCGAACGAGACCUUCGGGUCUAGUGGCGCACGGGUGCGUAACGCGUUGGAACAUGCCCUUGGGUUCGGAAUAACUCCCCGAAAGGGGUGCUAAUACCGGAUAAUGUCUUCGGACCAAUGAUUUAUCGCCUUUGGAUGUGCCCGCGUUGGAUUAGCUAGUUGGUAGGGUAAUAGCCUACCAAGGCGAGGAUGCAUAGCUGGUUUGAGAGGAUGAUCAGCGACACUGGGACUGAGACACGGCCGAGACUCCUACGGGAGGCAGCAGUGGGGAAUAUUGGACAAGGGGCGAAGGGCUGAUGCAGCAAUGCCGCGUGAGUGAUGAAGGCCUUGGGGUUGUAAAGCUCUUUUACCCGGGAUGAUAAUGACAGUACCGGGAGAAUAAGCUCCGGCUAACUACGUG